AUAUUUGGUAUUAUCUAUACAGUCAUGUUCCCAGAGUAUCCAGAUAUCUACAACUUUACUCAAGAAAUCAAGGCAACAUUCAAUCAUAACUGUAUGCUGCCUGGAAUACGAUUACUGGAUAGUGGGAAUGGAGACUUUUUUUCAUCUAUUUAUUCCGGGGAGCGAUGUUCCUCUAUCUGUCUGGAAAGACCUACUUGUAAUUCAUGGACUAUAGACUUGGGUAAGUUUUCUUUAAACAGUUUACAAUAUCCCACUGGAACGACAUAUAACUGUAUGGUACAGUGCUGUUUCAAAGAAUGAGAAGUUAAGGACAACCAAAAACCCUUUUUUUUCUAAAGGUUGGCUUUUAUCCUCAAUCUUGAAUAUAGUAUUUUAAUGGUGUACUUAAUAAUUUUGGUCAAGAAGGAACAAUCAGUAUCAGCGGAAAUACUGUUUAGUCAUCACUUCUUAUCCUUUGUAGGUAGCCCUGCACGCACAUUCCAAACCUGCACACCCAUUUUCAGGGGUGUAUAUUUUUAAGAAAUUAAGAAUAUAUUUUUACCCAAACAUCUGUUUAUUUUCCACUAAAAAUUAUUUAUUUCCCAGUGGAAUUUUAAUACAAAAUAAAUAAUCUAAAUAACCUGUGUUCCAGUUUGAGCGCCGGAUUAAAUUUUGAAACAGAGGGAGGGAUGGCAACCACACCAAUUUGUAUUCCCGAAAGGGAAGGUAUACUACAUAGUAUGCAACAGUAUCCCUAGCA
Eurytemora carolleeae is the source of this 739-nucleotide long non-coding RNA. RefSeq lists it as uncharacterized. The record is from RefSeq and is a predicted model, not a curated record. The transcript has 3 exons. NCBI's taxonomy places the organism in Eukaryota, Metazoa, Arthropoda, Copepoda, Calanoida, Temoridae.